UGUGGUUUAAUUCGAUGCAACGCGAAAACCUUACCACCUUUGACAUGGCAGGAAUCCCGAAGAGAUUUGGGAGUGCUCGAAAGAGAACCUGCACUACGAGGUGGUCUGCAUGGCUGUCGUCAGCUCGUUGUCGUGAGAUGUUGGGUUAAGUCCGCUAACGAGCGCAACCCUCGUCGUAUGUUAUAUGUGUCAUACGAGACUGCCGGUAAAGAGCCGGAGGAAGGUGAGGAUGAUGUCAAGUCAGCAUGACCUUUAUAUCCAGGGCUACACACACGCUACAAUGGUCUGUACAAUGGGUAGCCAAGCCGCGAGGCGGAGCCAAUCCUGAAAGCAGGCCUCAGUUCAGAUUGCAGUCUGCAACUCGACUGCAUGAAGCCGGAGUUGCUAGUAACCGCAGGUCAGCAAUACUGCGGUGAAUACGUUCCCGGGUCUU
This 433-nucleotide ribosomal RNA is filed under the name uncultured Anaerolineaceae bacterium. RNAcentral describes it as "bacterial SSU rRNA". It matches the Rfam family "Bacterial small subunit ribosomal RNA", at positions 940 to 1382 of the family's 1533-position model. Lineage: Bacteria; Bacillati; Chloroflexota; Anaerolineae; Anaerolineales; Anaerolineaceae. The record is from RNAcentral.